This is a long non-coding RNA of Dromaius novaehollandiae (emu), 659 nucleotides long. RefSeq lists it as uncharacterized. The record is from RefSeq and is a predicted model, not a curated record. Lineage: Eukaryota; Metazoa; Chordata; Aves; Casuariiformes; Dromaiidae. The transcript is spliced from 4 exons.
GUGUAAUGGCGGCCUCAGCCUGCAGCUUCCCCCUUGUCGCUCUCGGGUGUGGCCGGGUUUUGCCAACGGUCUGGUCAUUCCAGUAAAGGACAGCAACUUCUAACGUCUGCAGUGGUUCCAUACAGGUUCUUCAGCAGCUUCGUGAGCCAGAGGUGACGUGUUGUACUUGCUCUUCAUGCAAAGCCAGAAGGUAUUUCCAGAAGACAAGAAUAAGGGGAAAGUAUUUUGCAGAAGAACAAAAGGUUUGUAUGAAGAAAGGACAAAUUCUCGUCAUACUUAUAUCCAGGAUUUCAAGGAGACUGAUUUAUUUCAUCAAUGAUAUGCACACACGUCCUGAUAUUGCAGGUUGUUCCAUGCUGACAAGCCCUGUGUCAAUGUAGAUUCCUACUGAUGUUUGUGGGGUUUCGCAGACAUGGAAAGUCAGCAUUUGAUAAGCUGCUGGACCAAGCCCUUGUAUACCUUAGAGUAUGUCUUAUGACUAUCAUUAUUUUCUUUGACAAACUUUCUAUCACAAAAAUUUCUCAUUUUCUUCAUGGGGAGCUGCACAGAUGAUACACCUGAUAUUUUAAAGCCAAAUAGUUUCUGCAUAUCCUAGCCCAAAAGAUAUCUUAACAGAUCUUCAGCUAAAUAAAUAUCCUUAUACUAUUUUAGUUCUCGUA